AGCUUUGGAUGAGCAGGAUUGGCCCCUUCACACAUUCCAACAAUUCACAGAGGGUAUAGGUUUUGGGGUGGGCCAAUUCAGAGCUCUGGAUCGGGACUGGCCAGCCCACCUGCUCUCCUUCUCCAGCUCUGCUCUGCGUAGGCCAUCACCCAGUGCUACCAUAGCAGGUGUCAGGGUCAGCUCUCCUGCUCUCAGGCCUUCGGGACUGGCUCUCCUGUCACCAGAGUCAGCUGCACUGUACUGCCUAGUCAAGGUUCGGGACCCACUCUCCUAAGUGCUGCAGCCUACGAGGGGCUGGGUCAGCUCUUCAGAUCUCACACCCUUAAGGCUGGCUCACUCAUGCCUUCUCCAUCAGGGCCAGCUCUAUUGUGCUGUCCAGGCGAGGUACAGGGCUAGCUCUCCAGUGGUACAGCCAGUGAGUGGAGAGGGCCAGCUUACACACUCUCCUGAUCCCAGAGACAGCUCUUCUGACUACUGUAGGGAGCAAGAUGAGGAGGGGGAGGACAUCACCCCACACCCAGACCACUGCCUGGAUUUGAUUUGACUAGAUUUUUAUGAGUCCUAGGUAUAAGGCAGCUCCGGCCACCAAGCCAGGCAUCGAGCUAGGAUGAACAACGGACUGCCCUCUGCUCUGCCCCUGACUGAUGUAAAGCACAACACCAUCAAAAAGGUUGUACGUAGCAAAACUGUAGUGUCCUGAGGGGCUGGCACUCUCCCUGGUUUUGGCCAUCUACUGAGGGUAUUGCAAGCUAUACCCUGCAAAUAAGCCGAGACUGCAAGGUACACUGGCUUUUCUUCUUGUCCUUUCUUCAACUGUGUCCAGGCUUCAAUCUCCUGUGCCGUCAUAAAGCACAACCAGGAGCCUCAGGGUGUGCUGGCUCAAGCGCAGCAGCUGAGGUUGGCAAGGCCAUAUGCUGAAUACUAACACAUGGAGGUCCCACCUUCCCACCACCGUUUUCUCGCAUCUUGAGUCAAGGGCUUCUUCAUCUGUGACCAUGUCUCAAUAAAUGCCAUAGUCUACUGGAGUCAGUUUU
This is a long non-coding RNA of Mastomys coucha (southern multimammate mouse), 1034 nucleotides long. RefSeq lists it as uncharacterized. The record is from RefSeq and is a predicted model, not a curated record. Lineage: Eukaryota; Metazoa; Chordata; Mammalia; Rodentia; Muridae. The transcript has 2 exons.